GUAAACGGCGGCCGUAACUAUAACGGUCCUAAGGUAGCGAAAUUCCUUGUCGGGUAAGUUCCGACCUGCACGAAUGGCGUAACGAUCUCCACACUGUCUCGGCCAGAGACUCGGUGAAAUUGCAGUCGCGGUGAAAAUUCCGUGUACCCGCAGAAAGACGGAAAGACCCUGUGCACCUUUACUAUAGCUUGACAUUGGAUUUUGGGCCUGCAUGUGUAGGAUAGGUGGGAGGCUGUGAACCCUGUACGCCAGUAUGGGGGGAGCCAUCCUUGAAAUACCACCCUUGCAUGUUUAAGAUCCUAACUUCUUCCGGUUAUCCCGGAGAAAGACAGUGUCUGGCGGGUAGUUUGACUGGGGCGGUCGCCUCCUAAAGUGUAACGGAGGCAUGCAAAGGUUCCCUCAGCCUGAUCGGAAACCAGGCGCUGAGUGCAAACGCAUAAGGGAGCUUGACUGUAAGAGAGACAUCUCGAACAGGAACGAAAGUUGGCGUUAGUGAUCCGGUGGUCCCGAAUGGAAGGGCCAUCGCUCAUUGGAUAAAAGGUACGCCGGGGAUAACAGGCUGAUCGCAUCCAAGAGUUCACAUCGACGAUGCGGUUUGGCACCUCGAUGUCGGCUCAUCACAUCCUGGGGCUGAAGCAGGUCCCAAGGGUACGGCUGUUCGCCGUUUAAAGUGGUACGCGAGCUGGGUUUAAAACGUCGUGAGACAGUUUGGUCCCUAUCUUCUGUGGGCGAAGGAGAAUUGAGAGGGCCUGUCCCUAGUACGAGAGGACCGGGAUGGACGCACCCCUGGUGAUCCUGUUGUCGCGCCAGCGGCAUAGCAGGGUAGCUAUGUGCGGAAGGGAUAACCGCUGAAAGCAUCUAAGCGGGAAGCCUGCCUCAAGAUAAGUUCUCCCCUCGAAAGAGCUGAAGGGCCCGGGUAGACUACCCGGUCGAUAGGCUGGAGGUGUAAGCGCGGCGACGUGCUCAGCUGACCAGUACUAAUAGCCCGAGCGGCUUAUUUUU
This 1002-nucleotide ribosomal RNA is filed under the name human gut metagenome. Its description in RNAcentral is "bacterial LSU rRNA". It matches the Rfam family "Bacterial large subunit ribosomal RNA", at positions 1923 to 2925 of the family's 2925-position model. The record is from RNAcentral. RNAcentral also lists the same sequence under 1 other name.